RNAcentral lists this ribosomal RNA (253 nucleotides) under uncultured bacterium. Its description in RNAcentral is "partial 16S ribosomal RNA". It matches the Rfam family "Bacterial small subunit ribosomal RNA", at positions 524 to 776 of the family's 1533-position model. The record is from RNAcentral.
UACGGAGGGUGCGAGCGUUAAUCGGAAUUACUGGGCGUAAAGCGCACGCAGGCGGUUUGUUAAGCUAGAUGUGAAAGCCCCGGGCUCAACCUGGGAUGGUCAUUUAGAACUGGCAGACUAGAGUCUUGGAGAGGGGAGUGAAAUUCCAGGUGUAGCGGUGAAAUGCGUAGAUAUCUGGAGGAACAUCAGUGGCGAAGGCGACUCCCUGGCCAAAGACUGACGCUCAUGUGCGAAAGUGUGGGUAGCGAACAGG